This 253-nucleotide ribosomal RNA is filed under the name uncultured bacterium. RNAcentral's name for it is "partial 16S ribosomal RNA". It matches the Rfam family "Bacterial small subunit ribosomal RNA", at positions 524 to 776 of the family's 1533-position model. The record is from RNAcentral.
UACAGAGGGUGCGAGCGUUAAUCGGAAUUACUGGGCGUAAAGCGCACGUAGGCGGCUUGGUAUGUCGGGUGUGAAAUCCCCGGGCUCAACCUGGGAACUGCAUCCGAAACUGCCUUGCUAGAGUAUGGGAGAGGGAAGUGGAAUUUCCGGUGUAGCAGUGAAAUGCGUAGAUAUCGGAAGGAACACCAGUGGCGAAGGUGACUUCCUGGACCAAUACUGAAGCUCAGGUGUGAAAGCGUGGGGAGCAAACAGG